CUACGGAGGGUGCAAGCGUUGUUCGGAAUUACAGGGCGUAAAGCGCGCGUAGGCGGUCUGUUAUGUCAGAUGUGAAAGUCCUCGGCUCAACCGGGGAAGUGCAUUUGAAACUGGCAGACUUGAGUACUGGAGGGGGUAGUGGAAUUCCCGGUGUAGAGGUGAAAUUCGUAGAUAUCGGGAGGAAUACCGGUGGCGAAGGCGACCACCUGGCCAGAUACUGACGCUGAGGUGCGAAAGCGUGGGGAGCAAACAGGAUUAGAAACCCCAGUAGUCC
Molecule: ribosomal RNA, 274 nt
Filed under: uncultured bacterium
Lineage: Bacteria
Description: partial 16S ribosomal RNA
Rfam family: Bacterial small subunit ribosomal RNA
Source: RNAcentral